ACCCUGGUGCUCAGAUGGUAAAGUGUCUGCCUGCAAUGCAGGAGACCCAGGUUUGAUCCCUGGUUCGGGAA
Molecule: non-coding RNA, 71 nt
Organism: Bos taurus (domestic cattle)
Lineage: Eukaryota; Metazoa; Chordata; Mammalia; Artiodactyla; Bovidae
Source: Rfam